This 427-nucleotide ribosomal RNA is filed under the name uncultured bacterium. RNAcentral describes it as "bacterial SSU rRNA". It matches the Rfam family "Bacterial small subunit ribosomal RNA", at positions 355 to 774 of the family's 1533-position model. The record is from RNAcentral.
UGGGGAAUUUUGGACAAUGGGGGCAACCCUGAUCCAGCCAUGCCGCGUGAGUGAAGAAGGCCUUCGGGUUGUAAAGCUCUUUCGGCGGGGAAGAAAUGGCAACGGCUAAUAUCCGUUGUUGAUGACGGUACCCGCAUAAGAAGCACCGGCUAACUACGUGCCAGCAGCCGCGGUAAUACGUAGGGUGCGAGCGUUAAUCGGAAUUACUGGGCGUAAAGCGUGCGCAGGCGGUUUCGUAAGACAGACGUGAAAUCCCCGGGCUCAACCUGGGAACUGCGUUUGUGACUGCGAGGCUAGAGGACGGCAGAGGGGGGUAGAAUUCCACGUGUAGCAGUGAAAUGCGUAGAGAUGUGGAGGAAUACCUAUGGCGAAGGCAGCCCCCUGGGUUAGUACUGACGCUCAUGCACGAAAGCGUGGGGAGCAAACA